UACGUAGGGUGCAAGCGUUGUCCGGAAUUAUUGGGCGUAAAGAGCUCGUAGGCGGUUUGUCGCGUCUGCUGUGAAAACGCGAGGCUCAACCUCGCGCCUGCAGUGGGUACGGGCAGACUAGAGUGUGGUAGGGGAGACUGGAAUUCCUGGUGUAGCGGUGGAAUGCGCAGAUAUCAGGAGGAACACCAAUGGCGAAGGCAGAUCUCUGGGCCGACCCUGACGCUGAGGUGCGAAAGCGUGGGGAGCAAACAGG
RNAcentral lists this ribosomal RNA (253 nucleotides) under uncultured bacterium. RNAcentral describes it as "partial 16S ribosomal RNA". It matches the Rfam family "Bacterial small subunit ribosomal RNA", at positions 524 to 776 of the family's 1533-position model. The record is from RNAcentral.